ACUCUGUGAUAGGGUUGGAUCCUAUAUGCUACUUUUAUUAUUGUCCUGUAAAAGGUUCAGUGCCUAUAAUUUAGGCUGUGUGUAGAAUGGGGCAUAAAAGGAAAUUACCUCUACUAAUAAAUUACUACUAGAUUAUAGUGAUAAGGAAAACAGUAUACAAAUUUGGCUUGUGUAUUCAUUUGCCUAUAAGUAAUCAUAAUUCCAUUCUUUUUUACAUAAAAAAAGAGAAUACUUCAAAAUGAGAAGAUCCUGCCAUGGAAAAGACGACUGGGCGGACAUAAAGUGGAAAGGAGGGGAAAUAACUCACACCAUGCAGCAGGACACCUUCAGCUGUGGGGUCUUUGUAAUGCAGAUGGCCAAUGAAGUUGCACAGAACUUCCCCAACAUCCCCUCCCAAAUUGAUAUGGAACCUUCAAAAACACAUGGAGCAACUGCGAAAAUAAAUGGCUGAGGAUAUACUAAAAAUGUCUGGUAUGUAAUGACAUUUAAUUCAAAGUAAAUGUAAAUUCUUUAUUUUUAUGUAGUUGUGUGGGACAGCCAUAUGUUCAGUUCAUGCCUAUGAUUUCAAAGUUCAACAAAGCCAACAACUGCUUCAUGUGUGCCACUGAUAAAGAACCUGGAUGUGGCCCAAAGACUGACUGGGUUAGUAACUUUUUUAAACAUGUUUAUAAUCUUUUGACAACAGUGACGGCAUGUAAGACAAUUUAUGAUAUAACACAAUGGAUGACUAAUUCGUCAUUCUGCAUUGAUAUUUGAUAUUAUUUAUAACGUGUUACGCUUUGUUGUUUUGAUUGAAUGUUUUGCAUGCCAACGGUGGUUCCAUGUGCUGUGCCUAGGAAUGAAGACAAAAGAGUUCAGAGUAAAGAACAAACUGGAAGUGCAGUCUUUGUUGUUGAAAAUGUAUGGUAUACCCAAUCCACACUGAAGAGGCUCUGAAAUGUACAUCAAUUAAGUUUCAUACUUAACUUUAAUUAAGUGUCUAUUGACAUGUUGGAAAAGAUUAAAGGUCUACAAUUUGUUUAAUUUGUCAAUAUUACAU
RNAcentral lists this long non-coding RNA (1039 nucleotides) under Salmo salar (Atlantic salmon). Its description in RNAcentral is "lncRNA (ENSSSAG00000087096.1)". The record is from RNAcentral. Lineage: Eukaryota; Metazoa; Chordata; Actinopteri; Salmoniformes; Salmonidae.